RNAcentral lists this long non-coding RNA (830 nucleotides) under Rattus norvegicus (Norway rat). Its description in RNAcentral is "long non-coding RNA NONRATT018834". Lineage: Eukaryota; Metazoa; Chordata; Mammalia; Rodentia; Muridae. The record is from RNAcentral.
AAACUGGGUGUCGUGCAGGCAGAUGCGUGCCUGUGUCUAGAGCCCACACCACUCAACUGCUUCCCAAAGAACAACUUGAGAGAUCUUUGGAUUCCAAAAUUACAUGGACCUAAUAUCCCAGAGUUUUGGUCAUGCCUGUUAGAGAAGAGCAGUGCCUCUGAUGCAGGCUGUUUUGGUUCCUUGAGGACUAAGCGAUUUUUCUUGCAAGUUGAAACUAAGCACAGUGGCAUCCUUACCUUGAGGCCCAGCGUGCACCCUGGCCUCAGCCCAGCACUCCAGCCUACUGGGAACAGGCUGUGCGUGCUCUGCAGCUGCCUGCCCUGGGCAUCUCUGCCAGGGCUGCCCAGCCUGCCAACUUCAUCUGGGCAGAGCCCCUCCUCCCUAGGUGUUUGGAGUUAGAUCUGAUCAUCCUUGCUGGGGUGGGAGUCAGAUGACUCCUCCAUUCCACCCAAGGAGCUGGGACAGCCGCUCUGACUGUGGAAUAAGGAGAAUGGCCUGCCCCCUUAUAAACCUCGAAUCCCUACAAGUGAGGGGAAUAUCUUUUGGAAUUGAUUUAUUGCCUUUGCAAUCUUUGCUUUUGAUUUCCUUGGUAGCUCUAUUUCCUUCUUUCCUUUCCUGUCAAAUCUCUCAGACUCAGAAUGGACCAUGGUUUCUGGAGCAUAGGGGUACAUCCCAAGGGGCUUCUUAUUCUCCAGCACCCCUGGUGUCCUCUCACCAGCAUGAGGUGAAAGUGGUCCUCCCUGGGCUGAGCCAUAGCUGGUUGCCCUGUGACAUAAGGUGCAACCCCAGCACAUGAUGCCAUUAUCUUGGAAUAAAUUCUUUUGACUUAU